CUUCAACGACCCCAGGAGCAGAGGCUGUUCACGGUCCUGCCCAUACGUCGCCAGCAGCGCCUGUGCCUC
RNAcentral lists this antisense RNA (69 nucleotides) under Streptomyces scopuliridis RB72. Its description in RNAcentral is "ASpks TB sRNA". It matches the Rfam family "ASpks TB sRNA". Lineage: Bacteria; Bacillati; Actinomycetota; Actinomycetes; Kitasatosporales; Streptomycetaceae. The record is from Rfam by way of RNAcentral.